UACGUAUGGUGCAAACGUUAUCCGGAUUUACUGGGUGUAAAGGGGGCGCAGACGGCGAUGCAAGCCAGGAGUGAAAGCCCGGGGCCCAACCCCGGGACUGCUCUUGGAACUGCGUGGCUGGAGUGCAGGAGGGGCAGGCGGAAUUCCUGGUGUAGCGGUGAGAUGCGUAGAUAUCAGGAGGAACACCGGUGGCGAAGGCGGCCUGCUGGACUGCAACUGACGUUGAGGCCCGAAAGCGUGGGGAGCAAACAGG
This 253-nucleotide ribosomal RNA is filed under the name uncultured bacterium. RNAcentral describes it as "partial 16S ribosomal RNA". It matches the Rfam family "Bacterial small subunit ribosomal RNA", at positions 524 to 776 of the family's 1533-position model. The record is from RNAcentral.